CUCAGCACUGGAAGAUGGUGAAACCUUGACAAGUCAGGGCCUGGUGGGCGGCCCCUGGAACAAUGAGGCAUGCUCUUGUGGAGGCAGGGCAGGCCCAAAGCUAUGGGACCAUGUGAUCAUGGAUAGGAACCUCCAAAACUUGGAGCUACACAAACCUUUUCUUUCUAGUGAUGGAAAUUUGGCCACCACAGUUCGCCCCUAGAUGCCCUUCGUCCUGAAAACCCUCCUCUGAAGAACAUAUCGGCCAGGGCCAAACCUGUCCAUCAGACCGCCAGGCCAAGCCACUCUGCUACCUGCCAUCUCUGGAAGAGGGGUCUAACUCUGGCAUACAGCAGACGCUCAAGCAAAGCCUGCUCAAUGAAUACAAGCAUCUACCUUGUGACUAGACUGUUCACCACUUCACUUAGGGUACCACACUCACCAUGGGGACCUGGCAAAGGACUGGCAAGCCUUGGCACCAGGAACUCUACCUCAAGGGCCAACACUUGCCCAGACACCAAAACCGUAUCACCCACUAAAGAGGCUCAGGUCUCCUGACCCUGAAGCUAUUUAGAAAGCAGUGAAGUCACAAAUCCACCAUCUCUAUUCAUCUAUAAGAACAGAUGUAUCUGGGCACUCAAGGGGACAUGGGAUUAUUACAAAGAGGAGAGGGUAGCAGCCCUCUGCAAAGAAAAGGUCCAACAGGCUGAAGGAGGAACCUGUGAGGACUGAGGCCUGGGCCACCAGGAGUGCAGACUGCAAGCCCAAAGGAGAGGCCAGCAACACAGAGAGGGGCAGCUGGAGGCAGAGUAGAUGAUGCUUUGGAAGAUGGGUGACCAUCAGCCUGGUGGGACCCCAACCCAGAUGCAGAGACGUGGGGGUUCUCACCUCCCACCUGUGGCACUGGACCAGAUGCCCGCUUGGAGGAGGAGAACAGAUCCUGCCAACAGAGAAGCUGCUGAACAAGGGUGAUAAAAACACGCAAAGCCAGACAUGAAGCUGCUGCCACACCAUCCUCUAGCUGACUGUCACAUCUUUAGCUGUCUGUGACUUUGGGACAGGGCACUGCAAGUCUCCCUCUGCAACAGAGACUGGGCAGGCAGUGCCCCCCUCCUCUCCCAACACCUGCAAUGUGAUAAUAGGCCAGAGCUUGUCAGCACUGAGCCCGCUGGGACAAUGAAGAGGACAGUGGGAGUCUCAGUGGUGCCAGCCAGCAGCAUAGUAGGGGGACCACAGCAAGAGGCAGACAGAGUCAGAAACAGCUCCACAGUCAUGCUGUUAAUUAUCCAGCCUCUGGCCCCUAGCUGUAGACGAAUUUCUAAACAGUCUUAUAAAAUAAGAAACACAGAGCCAAAUACAGGGGUGAAAGCCAUGGAGAUCAGAGAAGUAAGAAUAGCCACCAACUAACCUUAGCUCACCACACCGCUGUCGCUUCCCAAGAGAACCGAACCAGCAUCUUCCUGUCUAACCUGUGCCUUUAUUGCUACCACCACCUGUCUUUGUUUAUGGCUAGCUGUGUCCUCUGAUCUCCAGGCAAACUUUAUUUAUUGACGUACAAAUAAAAUAUCACCACACCUA
Peromyscus eremicus (cactus mouse) is the source of this 1557-nucleotide long non-coding RNA. RefSeq lists it as uncharacterized. NCBI's taxonomy places the organism in Eukaryota, Metazoa, Chordata, Mammalia, Rodentia, Cricetidae. The transcript is spliced from 3 exons. The record is from RefSeq and is a predicted model, not a curated record.